RNAcentral lists this ribosomal RNA (586 nucleotides) under uncultured bacterium. RNAcentral describes it as "partial 16S ribosomal RNA". It matches the Rfam family "Bacterial small subunit ribosomal RNA", at positions 355 to 1375 of the family's 1533-position model. The record is from RNAcentral.
UGGGGAAUUUUGGACAAUGGGCGAAAGCCUGAUCCAGCAAUGCCGCGUGUGUGAAGAAGGCCUUCGGGUUGUAAAGCACUUUUGUCCGGAAAGAAAUCCUUGGCUCUAAUACAGUCGGGGGAUGACGGUACCGGAAGAAUAAGCACCGGCUAACUACGUGCCAGCAGCCGCGGUAAUACGUAGGGUGCAAGCGUUAAUCGGAAUUACUGGGCGUAAAGCGUGCGCAGGCGGUUUGCUAAGACCGAUGUGAAAUCCCCGGGCUCAACCUGGGAACUGCAUUGGUGACUGGCAGGCUAGAGUAUGGCAGAGGGGGGUAGAAUUCCACGUGUAGCAGUGAAAUGCGUAGAGAUGUGGAGGAAUACCGAUGGACGAAGGCAGCCCCCUGGGCCAAUACUGACGCUCAUGCACGAAAGCGUGGGGAGCAAACAGGAUUAGAUACCCUGGUAGUCCACGCCCUAAACGAUGUCAACUAGUUGUUGGGGAUUCAUUUCCUUAGUAACGUAGCUAACGCGUGAAGUUGACCGCCUGGGGAGUACGGUCGCAAGAUUAAAACUCAAAGGAAUUGACGGGGUCAUAGCUGUUUCCU